Molecule: ribosomal RNA, 253 nt
Filed under: uncultured Acidobacteriota bacterium
Lineage: Bacteria; Pseudomonadati; Acidobacteriota
Description: uncultured Acidobacteria bacterium partial 16S ribosomal RNA
Rfam family: Bacterial small subunit ribosomal RNA
Source: RNAcentral
UACGGAGGUGGCUAGCGUUGUUCGGAAUUACUGGGCGUAAAGGGCGCGUAGGCGGCAUUGCAAGUCGGAUGUGAAAGCCCCGGGCUCAACUCGGGAAUUGCAUCCGAAACUGCUUUGCUUGAGUCCUGGAGGGGGUAGUGGAAUUCCCAGUGUAGCGGUGAAAUGCGUAGAUAUUGGGAGGAACACCGGUGGCGAAGGCGGCUACCUGGACAGUGACUGACGCUGAGGCGCGAAAGCUAGGGGAGCGAACGGG